Molecule: RNA transcript, 5661 nt
Organism: Drosophila teissieri
Lineage: Eukaryota; Metazoa; Arthropoda; Insecta; Diptera; Drosophilidae
Gene: raptor
Gene name: regulatory-associated protein of mTOR
Exons: 3
Source: RefSeq, a predicted model, not a curated record
CCGCAUCGGGGCAAUCGAAAAAUCAUCGAUUUUUGUUCCAGCUCUAUUUUCUGCGCAAUUCUUUUCGUACAAUAUAAUUCGAUUAAACAUAAAUAAAUAAACCCAAGCGCAAGUAAAUAAACCCAUUAAUGCGGUUCAUCUUGCGCCGGAGUUCGCUCGCGAUAGUUGUACGGUUUUUAUUUUGGCCCGCCCUCGACUUAAUCGGCGCAGGCGGCGUGUUUUCCCCGAGUUCUUUUUAACCGUAUUCGGGAAAUGGGCCGCGAUCCGUAGGCGGAAAACGUGGAGAAGAGGAACGAGGAAAGAAAAGCAGAGAAGCGCGGAGGAGGCGCUGGCGGUGUAGGAGGAGCGGAAAGUGCGAAAAGUGUGAAAAGUGUUUGGGGUUAUGUGCUAGAGUCCCCUCGGGGGGAUUUUCAGCUGCUUGGAUCCGCGACAGAGACGUAAUCGCUCCGGGAAAUCGCUCGCAUUGCGCUGCUGCACCCUCUCCUCAGCAACCGAAAAAAGCAAAAAAGAAAAAAAAGUAAUAAAGCGAGAAACAAGAGAAACAGAAAGCACGCAAAACAUGGCAAGUGCCGUUCGCGCUAAGUCCGCCACUGCCGCGGUCGGCGUCGCAGUCGACGAAAGCAGCGGCAGCAGCAACGGCAGCGUUGCGGAUCAGGAGGUGUCCUCCAGUAAGGAGACCGUCCUGCGCUUCUUUAUUCGCACGAGAUACGAAAAAUAUAUAUUCGCCCGUUGGGACGAUCCCAUAAUCUUGAUAAUGGAGCAACUGGAGCAGAUCGAGCGCUGUCGAUCUGCCACCUUGGAGAACCAGGUGACCAUCGGCCGGGAACGAUCCCAGGAAGACUCGCCGAACGACCUGCGUGAGGUGGUUAGCAACAUAAGGCAGGACCACUCACUACACCCAAUCGUGAAGCACAUCGAGCAAAUAUCCGACAUCCAGGCCUCCAACGGUCAGGAGCACGCCUCCCUCGGUUGCUUGAGGGAGCUGAUCAAGAUUAUCAGAAAGGAGUGGCCCCGGGACGACUCAAUCCAAGUGCGGAUGAAGCAAAUACAGAGCAUACAGGCCCAGCCGCCCGCGGAGAGUUUAUGCUUUGGCGAGCGUCUCCGUGACGACAGGUGCCCGCUCUCCCUGCAGACUAAGCGGCACAAGGAGCGCAUCCAGGCCAUGAUGUACGAACGAGUGACGUGGCGUAUCCGCGAACGCAUGAAGACGGCAAGCGUGGCCCUGGUUCUGUGCCUCAACAUCGGCGUGGAUCCGCCGGACGUGGUAAAGAUCCAACCCUGCUCGCGGCUAGAGUGCUGGAUAGAUCCCAGCUCGGUGUCCCCGCCCAAGGCCAUGGAACUCAUUGGGAGCAACCUGCAGAUGCAGUACGAACGCUGGCAACCAAGAGCCAGGUACAAGAAGUGCAACGAUCCCACCGUGGAUGACGUUAAGAAGCUCUGCACCUCCCUACGCCGAAACGCCAAGGGAGAGCGCAUACUCUUCCAUUACAACGGACACGGUGUGCCCAAGCCCACGGCCAACGGAGAGAUCUGGGUGUUUAACAAGACCUUCACGCAAUACAUCCCCCUGAGCAUAUUCGAGCUUAUCACGUGGAUGUCAGUGCCCUCAAUCUACGUGUAUGACUGCUCCAAUGCCGGCAUCAUCAUCAAUUCGUUUCAGCCAUACGCUGAACAGCAUGAGAAAGAACUGAAAAAGGCACAGGCCGCCGCCCAGCAGAGGGGCGGAGUCCAGCAGCUGGUGGGCGGCUCAGGUGGUUCCGUCAAUGUAGCCGCCAACCAGGUGCAGUUGCCCAACCAGAUGGUCAGUUACCAGAACUGUAUACACCUGGCCGCCUGUGCUGCCAAUGAGAUUCUGCCCAUGAAUGCCCAGCUGCCGGCGGAUCUGUUUACCAGCUGUCUGACAACACCCAUCAACAUAGCGCUCAAGUGGUAUGCCAUGCAGGAAAAACUGGGCAUGGUGCCGCGUAUCCAGAGUGAACUGAUCGAUAAGAUUCCAGGCAAAGUCAACGACCGGCGCACCAUGAUGGGUGAGCUCAACUGGAUCUUCACCGCCAUAACGGACACGAUAGCGUGGAACACACUUCCCCUCGAGCUCUUUCAGCGCCUGUUCCGCCAGGAUCUACUGGUGGCUAGCCUGUUCCGCAACUUCCUGUUGGCCGAGCGCAUCCUGCGCAGCCACGACUGCACUCCAGUUUCCCUGCCCGCCUUGCCGCCUUGCUAUCGCCAUCCAAUGUGGAAGGCCUGGGAUCUAGUGGUAGAUCUGGCUCUACAGCAGUUGCCCGAAAUUCUCGAUCACAAUGCGCCGUACCGCCAGCUGCCGUUUUUCGAGCACCAACUCACAGCCUUCCAGGUGUGGCUGGACAGUGAAUCGGAAUCGAGAACGCCACCGGAACAGCUGCCCAUUGUGCUGCAGGUCCUACUGUCGCAAGUGCACCGCCUGAGGGCCCUAGAGCUGCUGGCUCGAUUUCUGGAUCUCGGUCCGUGGGCCGUUAAUCUCGCCCUGGGCGUGGGCAUCUUUCCAUAUGUGCUCAAGCUGCUGCAGAGUUCUACGCGCGAACUGCGGCCCGUUUUGGUGUUCAUUUGGGCCAAGAUCCUGGCCGUGGAUCCCAGCUGCCAGGUGGAUCUGGUCAAGGAGUACAAGUACUUCCUCUCCGUGCUGCAGGACACCUCCGUUUCGAAGGAGCAUCGCACACUCUCCGCCUUUGUACUGUCCUCCAUAGUGCACAACUUCCUGCUGGGACAGACGAGCGCCCUUCAGGGUCCCCUACUGUCCAUUUGCCUCGAGCAGCUAAACGACGGAAGCUGGCUGUUGCGCCAGUGGCUAGCCAUCUGCCUGGGCAUGUUGUGGCAGAACUUUGAAAAGGCUCGUUGGUCGGGAGCACGCGACCUGGCGCACGAGAAGCUCUACGUUCUGCUGCGGGACUCGAUUCCGGAAGUAAGAGCCGCUGCCGUCUUCGCCUUGGGCACAUUUAUCAGCUCCGUGACGGACCGCAGCGAGGAGCAGGCGAAUAACAUCGAUCGCAUCAUUGCCAUUACCAUGCUCGAGACCGUUGGCGAGGAUAUGUCGCCGCUAGUCCGCAUGGAGUUGGCCGCCGCUCUGCAAUGGAUGGUGGUACUCUUUGAGUCACAGUUCGUGGCCGUAUAUCUAACUGAGCAUAUGCGCGGACACGUUUCCGCCGCCUCGUUCGUGAUGUGUCCCGAUCCCCGGGAGCUGACUUCUUCCACGCACAGCCUGGAGCGUCAUGUGACCAUCCGCAGGGGAGCCAGCUCCAGCUCCAUAUCUAACAUGGGUGGUGCGUCAACUGGCUCGGGCACAGGAUCAUCCAGCAACCCAUUGGGUCGCUCGAAGAGUGGCUCUGCCAGUUCGGGCGGAAGAGGAGCUGCCGGAGCUGCGGGCGGUACAAACAGCAUACCCUUCCAGUCAAUUUUCACCAAACUGUGGCUGGGCAUCUGUAAUCUGGCCCAGGAUCCGUUUCCCCGUGUGGCGGCCAUUGCCCAGGAGAUUGUUGACCAUGUGAGGGAUACGGCACUGUGUCCCAUCAUGGCGGCCAAGGAAGCCACCAUGGCCAAUGCCUCGGAGAAGUGCAGUAGCCUAAGUGUAAGCCUCCCGCCCAGUCCAAAUACGAGGGUUAAUUACUUGGGCGGUGGUGGUGCACCAGGAGGAGCUGGGGCGACUGCGGAAUCACCGCCCGUCGGAGCAGCUGCUUCGGGCGCCAGUCACUGGGCCCAAAAGCUAAGGCUAUCGGGCAGUGGAGCCUGCGUGGCUGCCGGAGAUCCUCAAACCAUUCUGCAGCGCAAACUGCGCACCAGCUCUAUCAACGAUGAGACUGACAGCGGGAUAGCGUCCUCCCGAGGAGUGACGGGCGCCGGAGCUGGUCUGGGAUUGCCCAGCGGACCGAGGGAGAGCACCCAUUCGGCGCGAAGCAGCGGCAGCGAGAGCAAUCACUACUUGGAGCCGGGACACAGCCUCACGCCCAUUGUCCUGACCGAGUUCAUACCCUGGGCCAUUUCCUAUUUCACACGGCCGGGCAAGGAGCGCUACAGCAGCGCCGAGGGAGCAGCAGAGGAGGGACGCCAGCGUUACCCAGUGGACCGAAACUCAACGGAGCUGCGGCGCAGGAGGUUGCGCUUCCUGCGAAACGAUUUUGUGCGCCGACAUGCCGGCCGCAAGCACCAGGAGCUGAUCGAUCCCUACGGCUUCGAUGUGUGCGUGUGGAACCGGAAGACACAGUUCACGCCUGCCAUCGUCAAGCUGCUGCCUUACGAGCCGCAGAUUGCGGUGGCCUACAGGGAGAAGGUUCUGGUCUACGACUUCCAGUACAACUCGGUACGCACAUACGGCGCCGAGGCUCUGGGCGGCAACUCCACUGGCUCUAGUUCCGGUUACGGAUCAGGUUCCGGAUCAUCUUCAUCGCUCAAUGGCAGCACCCCGCGAAAGUCGGGCGCACCCCCAAGUGGGGGAGGUGGCGGAUUUUCGGCCGCCCCCUUUGCCCGCGUUAGCAGCAUCGAGUUCAUCAAUGCACAGGAUAUGGCACUCAACCUGGUGGCACACGAAGACGGGGUGGUGCGCGUCUGGCAAUCCUCGCCGCCGGCCAGCUCCGCCACCACCGAGGAUACCCCGAGCAAGGCCCGAUUGGUGACUGCUUGGACGGCACUGGGUCAGGUUAACCAACACAAUCACCGCCAGCGCAGCGUGGCUUCCGGCGGCAGCAUUGGCAAGGGUGCGGACGCAUCGGGACUGUCGAGCGUUGGCUCGGGAGGGAUUGUGACCGCAUGGCAGCAGUGCAGCCAGCACCUUGUGAUAGGCGGCGGUGGCUGCCGAUUUAUCCGCAUUUGGGACGUAGAACGGGAACUGAAACUGGCAGAUAUUCCAUUGGGCCGCAGCGAAACCUGCGCCCGGGUGCUAUCACCCUACCUGCCCAAUAUGCGUUCCGAUGUGAUACUCGCCGGCUGCGACGACGGCAGUGUGCGACUGUUUGACAAGCGAUGUUCCCCGCAGGACGCCCGGAUCUCCGUUUAUCGACGCCACAGUGCCCCCAUUCUCCAUGCCAGCCUGCGGGCAAACGUACCGGUGCUGGUCUCCGGCUGUACCGAAGGUCGGAUCAGUGUGGCGGACAUGCGGGCGAGCCAGUCCGCCAUUGGCCUCAACGAUGUGGUGUACGAGUGGGACGCCGGUGGCGAUGUGACGGCCAUAACCAGCCACCAGCUAGCGGACACGGUGGCCUGCGGCAACGCCUCGAAGAUUGUGAUCUACUCGCUGGACGGACGGCAGCAGAAGGUGUUGCGGACGAACGAGGGUUUCAUUGGGCCCAAAAUUGGUCACCCCACGUGGCUGUAUUUCCACCCAUACAAAGUGCAGCUGGCGGUGGGCUUCGUGGACAAUAUGGUGGCCAUAUACAGCCCCACCCCAGGUAGAAAACAAUUUGAAAAAUGAGAUGACUGGAGUUUCUUUAAUAAGAAAAUAGCAAGAAUUUCAAGAAUUUCAAGAAUAUGAAGGAGCUACUUUGAUAAGAAAAUAAUUUUCUAUAAGGGCUGUGGCAAGUGGAAAACUGACGUCGAUAAGAAUCCCGAAACCUUGGUCAACGCACGCAGGUUCCUUGCGGAGCCGCAGAUGCAGUCGGCAGUGGAGCAGGUACGGAGCAGCACCCGGCUACCGGAUCU